RNAcentral lists this small RNA (293 nucleotides) under Marmota monax (woodchuck). The record is from RNAcentral. Lineage: Eukaryota; Metazoa; Chordata; Mammalia; Rodentia; Sciuridae.
GCUGGGUGUGGUGGCACAUGCCUGUAAUCCCAGUAACUCGGGAGGCUAAGAAAGGAGGAUUGUGGGGGCUGGGGAUGUGGCUCAAGUGGUAGCGUGCUUGCCUGGCAUGCGUGCGGCCCCAGUUCGAUCCUUAGCACCACAUACAAACAAAGAUGUUGUGUCUGCCAAAAACUAAAAAAUAAACAUUAAAAAAUUCUCUCUCUCUCUUUAAAAAAAAAAAAAAAAGAAAAGAUAAGAAAGGAGGAUUGUGAGUUCAAAGCCAACCUCAGCCACUCAGUGAGACCCUGUCGUUA